This 1372-nucleotide ribosomal RNA is filed under the name uncultured bacterium. RNAcentral's name for it is "bacterial SSU rRNA". It matches the Rfam family "Bacterial small subunit ribosomal RNA", at positions 29 to 1391 of the family's 1533-position model. The record is from RNAcentral.
UUGAACGCUGGCGGUAUGCUUAACACAUGCAAGUCGAACGGAAACGAUACUAGCUUGCUAGUAGGCGUCGAGUGGCGGACGGGUGAGUAACGCGUAGGAAUCUGCCUGAUAGUGGGGGAUAGCCCGAAGAAAUUCGGAUUAAUACCGCAUAAUCUAUUCGUAGUAAAGUGGGGGACUUUCGAGCCUCACGCUAUCAGAUGAGCCUGCGUAAGAUUAGCUUGUUGGUAGGGUAAAAGCCUACCAAGGCGACGAUCUUUAGCUGGUCUGAGAGGAUGAUCAGCCACAUCGGGACUGAGACACGGCCCGAACUCCUACGGGAGGCAGCAGUGGGGAAUAUUGGACAAUGGGGGCAACCCUGAUCCAGCAAUACCGCGUGUGUGAAGAAGGCCUGAGGGUUGUAAAGCACUUUCAAUUGUGAAGAAAAGUUAGCGGUUAAUAACCGUUAGCCUUGACGUUAACUUUAGAAGAAGCACCGGCUAACUCCGUGCCAGCAGCCGCGGUAAUACGGAGGGUGCAAGCGUUAAUCGGAAUUACUGGGCGUAAAGCGUGCGUAGGUGGUUUAUUAAGUCAGAUGUGAAAGCCCCGGGCUUAACCUGGGAACUGCAUUUGAAACUGGUCAACUAGAGUAUGGUAGAGGAAAGUGGAAUUUCUGGUGUAGCGGUGAAAUGCGUAGAUAUCAGAAGGGAACAUCAAUGGCGAAGGCAGCUUUCUGGACCAAUACUGACACUGAGGUACGAAAGCGUGGGUAGCAAACAGGAUUAGAUACCCUGGUAGUCCACGCCGUAAACGAUGAUAACUAGCCGUUGGGGGGAUUUACCCUUUAGUGGCGAAGCUAACGCGUUAAGUUAUCCGCCUGGGGAGUACGGCCGCAAGGUUAAAACUCAAAGGAAUUGACGGGGACCCGCACAAGCGGUGGAGCAUGUGGUUUAAUUCGAUGCAACGCGAAGAGCCUUACCUGGUCUUGACAUCCUGCGAACUUUCUAGAAAUAGAUUGGUGCCUUCGGGAACGCAGUGACAGGUGCUGCAUGGCUGUCGUCAGCUCGUGUCGUGAGAUGUUGGGUUAAGUCCCGUAACGAGCGCAACCCCUAUCCUUAUUUGCCAGCACAUCAUGGUGGGAACUAUAAGGAGACUGCCGGUGAUAAACCGGAGGAAGGCGGGGACGACGUCAAGUCAUCAUGGCCCUUACGACCAGGGCUACACACGUGCUACAAUGGGAAGGACAAAGAGCCGCGAAGCCGCGAGGUGUAGCUAAUCUCAUAAACCUUUUCGUAGUCCGGAUUGGAGUCUGCAACUCGACUCCAUGAAGUCGGAAUCGCUAGUAAUCGUAGAUCAGAAUGCUACGGUGAAUACGUUCCCGGGUCUUGUACACACC